GUCCAGACUCCUACGGGAGGCAGCAGUGAGGAAUAUUGGUCAAUGGGCGGAAGCCUGAACCAGCCAAGUCGCGUGAGGGAAGAAGGCCCUGCGGGUCGCAGACCUCUUUGGACGGGGAGCAAGGCCGCCGACGUGUCGGCGGAAGGAGAGUACCCGUAGAACAAGCAUCGGCUAACUCCGUGCCAGCAGCCGCGGUAAUACGGAGGAUGCGAGCGUUAUCCGGAUUUAUUGGGUUUAAAGGGUGCGCAGGCGGCACGGCAAGCCGGCGGUCAAAUCGCGGGGCUCAACACCGGCCUGCCGUUGAAACUGGUCUUCUUGAGUGAGCGAGAAGUAUGCGGAAUGCGUGGUGUAGCGGUGAAAUGCAUAGAUAUCACGCAGAACUCCGAUUGCGAAGGCAGCAUACCGGCGCUCAACUGACGCUGAGGCACGAAAGCGUGGGUAUCGAACAGGAUUAGAUACCCGAGUACA
Molecule: ribosomal RNA, 468 nt
Filed under: uncultured bacterium
Lineage: Bacteria
Description: bacterial SSU rRNA
Rfam family: Bacterial small subunit ribosomal RNA
Source: RNAcentral